RNAcentral lists this ribosomal RNA (478 nucleotides) under uncultured bacterium. RNAcentral describes it as "partial 16S ribosomal RNA". It matches the Rfam family "Bacterial small subunit ribosomal RNA", at positions 28 to 523 of the family's 1533-position model. The record is from RNAcentral.
GACGAACGCUGGCGGCGUGCUUAACACAUGCAAGUCGAGCGAUGAAGUUCCUUCGGGAACGGAUUAGCGGCGGACGGGUGAGUAACACGUGGGUAACCUGCCUCAUAGAGGGGAAUAGCCUUCCGAAAGGAAGAUUAAUACCGCAUAAGAUUGUAAUGCCGCAUGGCAUAGCAAUUAAAGGAGCAAUCCGCUAUGAGAUGGACCCGCGUCGCAUUAGCUAGUUGGUGAGGUAACGGCUCACCAAGGCGACGAUGCGUAGCCGACCUGAGAGGGUGAUCGGACACAUUGGGACUGAGACACGGCCCAGACUCCUACGGGAGGCAGCAGUGGGGAAUAUUGCACAAUGGGGGAAACCCUGAUGCAGCAACGCCGCGUGAGUGAUGACGGUCUUCGGAUUGUAAAGCUCUGUCUUCAGGGACGAUAAUGACGGUACCUGAGGAGGAAGCCACGGCUAACUACGUGCCAGCCGCCGCGGUAA